RNAcentral lists this long non-coding RNA (6215 nucleotides) under Mytilus galloprovincialis (Mediterranean mussel). Lineage: Eukaryota; Metazoa; Mollusca; Bivalvia; Mytilida; Mytilidae. The record is from RNAcentral.
AGAUAGCUCUUGCACAAGUGACUACAUAUUUCCAUAGCGCUGGGAACUGUGGACUUAACAAAAUAGAAAUUUAUGAUGGGUCAACUUUAAAUAAAGAUAAACGAAAACAAAACUGUGGUCCUGGUCCAUUCGAGCCAUUUGAAUCGAAAACAAAUAAAGUAUUUGUUCGAAUCUUUGGCAGCAGUCUAAAUUACAAACCAACGAUAAAUCUUCUAUUUACAAAGUUUUAUAAAAGUAAGUAUAUUUUAGUAUUUAGUAUUUGUGAAGGAAUGAAAUAAUAGUAGCCGGUUCAAGUUUCUUGUUGGUUUAAGAACAGUAGUUAUGUUUAUUUUUAUGAAGAAAAAAAUCUUUGCAAAUAAAAUAUUUGAAAUUUAUUUUCUGUCUUUAAUAUAAUCGUGAGGUUUACAAUGUUGUUUGUCAGAUACUUUAUAUUAAGUACAACAUUGUAAACAAGGUUUUACUAUCCACGUCAUCUGGUCGAUGAUGCAUAGUUGUCUCUUUGAUAAUCCUUCCACAUAAAUUUAUUUUUUUGUCACUAAUUUGCAUGAUAUCUUUUAUCUGCACUAGAUGAUGCGUCUAGAAUUUGCAUAAUAUCUUUUAUCUGCACUAUGUGUAGUUGCUAGAAUAACUCUGGUGUGAUGAUGAAAUGCGUCAUGACAUACAUUGUAUAAUUUUUUUCUUCUUGUAAUAUUUGUCAGGUAAUUAAACAAGUUUUGUCGGUAUUUUUCAUCUUUACGUAAUUCAAUUUUUCAGACGAAACUUGCAAUUCCAAACAUUUUUCUUGCAAUGGAAGAUGCAUCAGCAACACUCUUGCUUGCAAUGGAAAGAUUAACUGUCCAAGUGGAUUAGACGAAGAAAACUGCGAUCUGGAUGAUAGUGAGACUGUUGGUAAGCACUAUAUAUCUCUCACAGAUUUCUGAGUUCUUUGCUUUUAGUUAUCUGUUUAGCAUAUUCUCUUGGAACAUCUUUUUGAAUUGCAAUGGUAUUCGGUACUGAGAAAUGCGUCUGCUCAAAAAUUAAAAUUACGCUUUAUAAAUUGUGUUCAUCUGAAGUGCUUUUCUAUAUCAACCUUCAUCACGAACGCUCAAAGCCAAAAAUAUGAAAGCGAUGGAUUCAUAACUACAAAAGCUAUAUCUUAUGUGAUGAAAGGAGUGUCGUUACGUAGCUUAGUCAUAUAUUUCAUGUUUAUACAUAUUUCAUAUUUUCAUGCUGCUAUACACUUCCACAGUACUUGUGUCAAAUUUCCAUUCGUUUGAUGUGUUUGAGCUUUUGAUUUUGCUAAUUUUCGUAUGGACUUUCAGUUUAGAGAAUUUUGCUCUGAGUUCAGAAUUUUCGUUAUUUUACUUUUUCUGUAGGCACACAUAUAAUGUAUAGUAUGUCUUACAAAAUCUUGUAUCGAUGACUAAAGAUAAACACAAGAUAUGAUUCGGUCAUUUAUUAAUUUUUUUUUUUUUUCGACCAAUAAAUUAAAGUCAGUGAAUUUUAUUUUCAACGUUACUGAACAUUUAUAAGUGGAAUCAUAGAUAAAACAAACUUAAGAAGAUAAAAAAUGAUAAUUGGAAAUAAAGUUUUAUUGAAAUGAUGUACAUUUUAUUUUCUUAUACUGAACACCAAUAUUGGGCUAAGACUAGUUAAGCAUUGUGCGACAACAGUGAAUCGAAGAAAAUCGACGAAAGCUUAUUUUUAUUUUUUAAAACAUAACUCUUUGUAAAAUAAAUGUCGUCAUGAUGAGGUUUUUUUUAGGAUAUACGUGUAAAUAAGGAAUCUAAUAAAUCAUUAUGAUAGGAUCGAUUUGUGUUUUUACUUUGGCACCUUUGCCUCUUCUGUCUCAGACAGAAAUUCAACAAGAGUCGAUGAUAAUAUCUAGACAUGAUUUUUUUCAAAGGGGAUUCGUUGUUAAAAUUCUGCAUUAAUAUAUAAUUGUUUAUUAAUGAAAACGUUUAAUUGUGAUAGGGACAUUUUCUGUUUACUAAAGUUGUACUUGACUGACAUACUUCCUACCAACUAUGUGAAUUGUUUCAAUUUGUAAAAAUGAUUCUUAAUAUUAUUACUAUUUGCAAACAAAUAGUGGACAGUUUUAUAGAAUACAAUGAAUCUCUCCUUUCUGAUGUUAUAGCAUCGUUUCCUGUUAAUGUAUUGUUAAUAUCUUCCACAUUUUCUGAUUUUCUUUUAUUCUGUAAUUUAUAACAUAAAAUAUAAGUUCUGCAUCUAGUUUGAUAAACAGAUUAAAAACGUUUUGUAAUAUAUUACAAACAGUAGGUUAUUCGUAGGAGGCAAGAAAAUAAAACGGUUUCCGUACACAACAGAUGUACAAUCGUGAUGAUUAAUUAGACUAAAUAUUUAUCUAUCUUAAUCUACCAUUCAUUUCAUACAGUAGUUAUUCUGAUUUAAACUGACACCUCUGCAGUCAUACACUUUGUUCAUGUGGAAAGCCAGAUGGCUUAGCCCGGAAGAUUUCAAUUAUAAAGAUAAUACAUGGAAAUUAAUAUUUUCUUCAUGUCCAUGCAAAUUAUCCCCACCUUUCAUCAUAACAGAUGCUGCAAUCAACUAUGAUAGGUGUAUUUAUUGUUUUAAAGGUACCUGUAAUCGCAGCAAAGUUAAGCAAAGUUCUACAUGUUAUUAACGUCUUUUCAAAUUAAGAAACUGGAGUCGUUGUAUCAACAUUUCGUUUGUAUUUUAAUAGAGGACAAAAUCUAAUUUACCAUGGAGAUUAUCUCCAAAAAAUGCUUAUGUAUGACCUCUGCUGUUAGGUAUGACCUGGUGUAAACAUAAAUAUAAACAGAAUACAAAGGCAAGCACAUGCACAAUCGUAUAAUUACGAUUUUCCAAGGCCUGUUUGAUUUCAAGUCAUUAUAAAGUACAUCUCCGCUUUACUUAUUUGUAUUUUUUGUGGGCAGAUUCAGUCAGCGAAGAGAGCUCCGCGGCUGCUGCCUUGUAUAAAUACACAGGCUUAGACCGCGCAAAAAUAUACUUGAAUUUUUUAAAAUAUAUUUACUUUGCUAUAUUUCAAACGUUCUUGAAACAUAAGCGACACCAUUAUUCUCAAUAAUGCUGCGAACAAUUGCCAAGAUAAAUUACGUUAAAUCGUUGUAAAUCAGUCAGGGUCUGGAACUUCAAAAUCAGUUAGGACCAUUAUCAAUUCUACUUCAUUCUAUUCGAGAAAUAAUCUGUUAUGUUUGGUAUUCUAGUCACAUUUUCAGAAUAACUUUACAGAACUUAAGAAUAGCAAUCUUCACCAAUUGUUUAUAAUUCCUGUCGUUUACUAAUCCAUCUGUAUAUUCAUGCUCUGUAAUUAAGAAAUUAAUUGUAUUUUCAAUGCUCUGCCAAUCUUUUUUUUUGUAAACUGUUCUUUCAUCUUAUUUACUUUCUAUCGAAAAAAACUCGUUGGAUAAAAUUGCUAAGGUCGCUUUUUCUAUCAUACACUACGGUAUCGCUUGUCAUUUUUAUGCAUCUGGAGUUUGUCUUUCAAGCAGAGAUAAUUGAAAAAUGAAGUCAAGAAAAACAUAUAGAAUCAUCGUUGAAAAAUAUAAGUGCAUAGUCUUUGAUUCAUGGCCCUUUUGGUGCAUCUGGUUUUCAAAAAAAAAUACACCGAUAUACUCAUAGUCUGUCAAUGAAUAUCUCAGAGAUAUUAAACGUUAAUCAAUAGUGCAACUUUCUUAUUUCUUGUUGUUGCUUUAAAAAAAAAGAAGUCUAUUAUUUUUUUUUCUUUUUCAAAAUUGUUUUUAUUGUACCUGCUAUAUAGAUGGAUUGUAAACUUAACCAUACUUUCGAGUGAAAAAAAAAAUGUUUAUAUACAUGGCAAUUAAAAGUCAGUUGCUGAAUGUCUUGUUGGCAAUCAUACCACCUUCCUUACUUUUGUAAAGCAAUUUUAAGUAAAUAUUUCAAGAGUCCAUUUUCCUUAGUUCUGUUGACUUUAAAAAAACCUUGCUUGUGACAUAGGUUCAGGAGAUACGUCAUUUUAACUACAUCUGUAAAAUAUACUUUUUUUAUAUGUAAGAAAGAUAAAAGUAAAGUAAAUUUACAAUAUCGUUAGUUACUUUUCUUUGUUUUUAUUUAUAGGUUUAGGCUUUGAAUCGCUACCAUUACAUGCCAUCAUUAUUGGAGCUGUAGGUGGUGUGCUAGGAACCAUAAUUGUUAUCGGGGUAUGUCUAAUUUGCCGUUACAGAAGCCGAAAGCGACAGAAACAAAGGCAGGAACAACGUGAUAAAUUAAAGGAAAAUUUUGAAAUGUCCAACAUAAGUGCUAACACAACUUUACUAACGAAAAAGAAUGCCGGACAACCUAACUAUUUUUCACUACCACGUCAGCAUCGAAGUGGAGGCCAAAGAGACUAUAUACGUAGGGACAGUGGUACCAAUUCAAGUGUUCCUUCAGAGGGCGAUGUUCCAGAUCACAAUUCUGACCCAGGGAAUUAUAAAAAAUAUUUAGUCAUGGAUCAAUAUUUGGACGAAGAACCUUGUCCGUCAGUUUAUAGUCAAGGUCCAGUUUUAACGACUAUAAUUGAACGGCAUGAUGUGCCAAUGCAACAACAGGAAAUCGAUGGGUCAUACGGUUGGACCGGAUAUGGAUGGAAACCACCUCAGUCUGAUAAUAAAUCGCCAAUGAGUCUGACAGAGAACAUUGCUAAAUUAGCACAAUAUAACAUUCCACAAAAAACUUUAAAUCCAGACUAUAAAAUGUAUACAUCGGAUCCGAAAUAUGAAAUGUAUCCAGAAGUACGAUUCAAUAUAGGAAAGGAUUAUUCCAAAUUAAAAUAUCCGCAUCCUCAACAUCAACCAGAAAUCCCUACACCUACGAAGGAACAUCAGAAAAGUUUUAAAAUGUCCAGCCCUCAUCCUGACAUUACUCGAGAUUUAGAAGUUACGUAAAACUAUAUGAAAGGUUAAUGAAAAGACUUUGGAGAACAUAUUGAUAUUGCUUCGUCAAAGUAAUGACUUGUUAUAACAAGUAUACGAAGAACAGAACGUUAUUAGGAACAAAGCAAUCCUUAGACUCUUUACUCGAUCAACCAAAACAAUUGUAAACAUUUGGUUACAAUAAAAAGAUAGCGAGUUUUAAGUGCACCUAUCAGAUAUCCAAAAUAUUGUUUCCAUGAAAGAAGGCUGAGAGAAUUGUGACUAACUACUAGUUUUCAUUGCGCAUUGUAUUAUAGCAUUAUGUUUUAAUAGCAUUAUACUGAUGAAGAAAAGGACACUAAGCAAAUCAAAUGUGACUGAUUGUGAAUACAUUCACCCAUAUGUAACCAAAUUUUGAAUUUUCAUUACAACCACCACCAAAACGAAAAUAUUUUUAGAUGAUACUUUUAGCUACUCCAAAAUACACCAAAAUGGCGUUUUAAUUCUUGCAAUAAGUUCGUGGUUUUGUCUUGUGUUUUUGGUAUUUCAUGGCUAUUACCACGACUCAUUGUGCACUGUAGACGUCCGUAUAUAUCCGUCUGUUGAUUUAUUUAUCACAACACUUUGUUUAUAUCAAAGUUCUAUUUAUAGGUUUCAAAGUAUAAACAAUAUAUCAGAACUAUUUUAACAGAUAAUCAGUAACUAAAUAUAAGUAGAUAAGUAUCAUAUAAGUAUACGUUAAAUUUCAUCUUAAAGACUGUAAUAAUAUCUAAACUGAUAGACAUAUAUAUAUUGUGUCGAGAACAUGAUAGUACCAACCCAAAAAAGUAUGACCUUGCAUAAAAUCUAAUUACUAAAGUGGGAAGGAAUUAUUAUUCCUAUCUCUUGAAAUCAUGCAUAUACUAAACACUAAAAUGUCUCGCCAGUAAUAUUUCAAUUAUUUCAAAUAGCAAUACACUUCAGAGGAGGAUUUAGAGGGGCAGAGGGCCCGCACCCCCUCCUUUUUGGGGAAAAAAAUUCGGUUGCUUAUAUAGGGAAUCACUGAAGCGUGACUGGAGCGGCCCCCUCUUAGGCAGUUAGUGGGUCCCCACUUAUUAAAAUUUCUGGAUCCGCCAGUGCACUUUGAAACUUAUAGUAAUGUCACAAGAAAUAGUGUUAUUUCAAGUGUACGUUAAUUUAUUAAUAAGUUAAAAGAAACAACAGUUGCGUACAUUUGAAAAACUUGUUGACCUGAUAAAAAAAAAUCGUUGCAGGCGAGACAAAAUUUAAACGAAUCUUCACAAUCUUCAAAAUAAAUCACCACAUAUGAUAAUUCUUUUUAAUAGUUUGAGCAUAGUAUUUUCGAAUGUCUUAUAAUUCUUUGCCAUCUGGAGAAUUGUA